AGUGAACGCUGGCGGUAGGCCUAACACAUGCAAGUCGAACGGCCGCACAGUAAGAGCUUGCUCUUACGGGUGGCGACUGGCGGACGGGUACGGAAAACAUCGCAAUCUACUUUUAAGUGGGCGAUAACGUAGGGAAACUUACGCUAAUACAUCAUACGACCAACGGGUGAAAGCAGGGGACCUUCGGACCUUGCGCGAUUGAAUGAGCCGAUGUCGGAUUAGCUAGUUUGCGGGGUAAAGGCGCACCAAGCCGACGGUCCGUAGCUGGUCGGAGAGGAUGAUCAGCCACACGGGAAGUGGGACACGCUCCAGACUCCUGCGGGAGGCAGCAGCGGGGAAUAGUGAACAGUGGGCGCAAGCCUGAUCCAGGCAUACCGCGUGCGGCAGGAGGGCCCCCGGGUUGUAAAGCCCUCUUGUUGGGAAAGAACAUCAGCAUGCUAGUAUCUCGCCAUGCUGACGGUACCCAAAGAAUAAGCACCGGCUAACUUGUUC
RNAcentral lists this ribosomal RNA (492 nucleotides) under uncultured bacterium. Its description in RNAcentral is "partial 16S ribosomal RNA". It matches the Rfam family "Bacterial small subunit ribosomal RNA", at positions 29 to 507 of the family's 1533-position model. The record is from RNAcentral.